This 20-nucleotide small nuclear RNA is filed under the name Arabidopsis thaliana (thale cress). RNAcentral's name for it is "snRNA_10416". The record is from RNAcentral. Lineage: Eukaryota; Viridiplantae; Streptophyta; Magnoliopsida; Brassicales; Brassicaceae.
UCGGGAGCUUUCCCCGGGCG